GACAGAGGGUGCAAACGUUGUUCGGAAUUACUGGGCGUAAAGCGCGUGUAGGCGGCUCGGCAAGUCGGGUGUGAAAGCCCCGGGCUCAACCUGGGAAUUGCAUUCGAGACUGCGUAGCUAGGGUGCGGAAGAGGGAAGCGGAAUUUCCGGUGUAGCGGUGAAAUGCGUAGAUAUCGGAAGGAACACCAGUGGCGAAAGCGGCUUCCUGGUCCAGCACCGACGUUCAGGCACGAAAGCGUGGGGAGCAAACAGG
RNAcentral lists this ribosomal RNA (253 nucleotides) under uncultured bacterium. Its description in RNAcentral is "partial 16S ribosomal RNA". It matches the Rfam family "Bacterial small subunit ribosomal RNA", at positions 524 to 776 of the family's 1533-position model. The record is from RNAcentral.